Urocitellus parryii (Arctic ground squirrel) is the source of this 2368-nucleotide non-coding RNA. Lineage: Eukaryota; Metazoa; Chordata; Mammalia; Rodentia; Sciuridae. The record is from RefSeq and is a predicted model, not a curated record.
UCAGGGAUACACUUUCCAGCACAUUUAGGACUUGGAACAGCCCCAGGUUUCAGGAACACAUGGUGAUGGGGGAGGGAGUGGGGCUCAAAUAGACUAGGAAGGGGGAAGCAAGCUCCUUCUUUCUUUCUUCAAGAUGAAUCUCCAUUUUCAUCAUCUGAUAGCAGGAACAGCAUGUGAGGACRGCGGAUGAAUUGCAAACCUGUGCAGUUACAGCCUCCACCCAGCCCCCCAAGCCAGCCAGGGACRCUCCAGUGUACCCCGGAAGUCGACCCCUGGAACAUGGUCCAGGUGCUGGUUUUAGUUAGAGCAGAAUAUGGUCCCUGAACCCUGAGACCCCCCACGUUGAUGGUGAAUCCAAAGGAAUGGGUAAGUCUUUAAUGCCCGUGUGACAGGAGCUGAUGCAGGACAAAACCUGACUUGAGCACUCUCAGUGACUCUGAGGGACCUGUGACAGGGACACGUGGCUACAGGCAGCCUUCCCCUCUGUCAGCAUCUACCUGGGCAACCUGGAGCAGGCUUCUCUGUGCGCCACAGCCCACCCGUGGGGAUGACAGCGGAUGUUCACCUGCCUGCCAGGGUGGCUGCAAGAUGCAAGGAGCCAGGAUCAGAACAGGAAGGCUGAUGUGCUGCUGGAGCUGGCUGCCCCUUCCGGUCCUGCCUGCCAGGGGCAGUGCUGCACAGAGCUGGCUUCUGUGUGGGGCUCGGAGCAGCUCCCGGCUCCCACCCAAAGCCCCUUUCUCCUGUGCUCUUGCAGAGCUUGCUCACAGGCUCCCAUUCAGAGGCUGACUGAUUGAAGAGGCGGCUGUGGGUCGGCAGUGUGACCUUUGGGCCCGCCUUGGUGGGUACCAAUGUCCUCCUCAGAUCUGAUUUUGGCCUUUCCAAGAAGUGUGGACAACAGGAUAAAGAAGGGGAGGUCCUGAGCCAGGUCAGAAGGUGAGAGCGGGGAGGGAGCACAUCCCAGGCUGCUCCGAGGGCAGUCACCUCCCCUGUCUUGCUCUCCAGAGCCUCUGAGGCAGCUACCUGCAAACCCUGUGCCACCAUGCCAGAUGGAGAAACUGAGGACCAGAGAAGUCACUAACUUGUCUAAGACCACACAGCUCCUUUGAAGCAGGAGAGAGAAACAUGAGGCCCGAGAUAUCACUCUGUGCCCUGCACAACUGCCCAGGACGGAGGAGCUAGAGCAGGGAAAGGCUGGUGAGGUGGCCGUCACAGGCCACUCCAUAACAUGCCACUGAGCCCAGAACAUGGAGUCUGCCGCCUGGAGCAAGAGAAGAGCUCGGUGGGAGUCGGCCUGCAGAGCUUCAGGAAAACCCCCGGAGAACCAGCUGCAGAUCUUCUUUCCCUCCACUCCACCCUCGUGGAGACUUUUCCUCCAGGCCAGCCUGUUCUGCUGGAAAAACAAUCUCCCCUGCCUGAGGACCCGGGCGGCUGGGCUACCUUCUGGUCUGUCUUCAUUCAGAUCCAUUUCUCCCCUCCCUGGAGCCGGGGGAGGGAGUCAUGCUGGGGGAGGCACGGGUGGGGCUGAAGACUUCAUCUGUCCCCCUUUAAGCCAAGCAAAGAAAAAUAGCCUUUUGCCAAGAUCUUUCAUCUCAGUCAUUUACUCUCGCAGAUGUUUUCUGCAAUAUAAACAAGAAGCAAGGAAUGUCGGGGAGGAAAGGAGGACGGGAGGCGGGCAGGAGGGAAGGAGAAGAAUCAACAGCUUUGAAACCUGGGCCUGCAGAGGGCAGGAAACAGGACCUCAGCAGGGGCCCUGCUGCCCUGAGAGCAUGGGCAAACCCGAGGUCAUUGCCCCAGGCCAAGCAGAGGGCGGCUACUGGGGGUGUCUUUGAAAGAAGGCUCUGGAGAAGUGGGCCAGUGAGUGGUCACCCCAAACAGGCUCCCCCUGCCUGGGAACCUGCCCAUGGGGAGACACUGCUGGGGUGUUACCUGGAGUGGCACCUGGCUGGGGCACACCCUUGCCCACCUUAGCACACCCUGAAGGCUGUUCUGGACUUCAGAACUCUGUCCACUGCCCAGAUCUGCCAGCAAGACCAGUGGGAGGUGCGGCACCCACAGUGGCAAUAAGGAUUUGGUCAUAGAGGGAGGAGGAAGAAUCCUGAGCUGGGGGUGGAGGGCAGGAGCAGCAGAUCACACAGUGGGUCAAGAGCUAACCAGGAAGGCAAAUGGCUCCCAGCUCCACAUUUUGUGGGAUUCCUACUGGUGUCAACAGCUAAUAAGCCUGGGGUUGCAAACUCAAAUGCCUCUGGGGACUGACCAGGAGCCCAAAGGAGUGUCCCUGAAUGGGGACAGUAUGAAGAAGAAAAGGCAGACCCAUCUAGAAGGGUGGCCACCACUCAGCUUCGCACUACGAAAGAUUCAAGAGAGCCCA